UACGUAGGGUGCAAGCGUUGUCCGGAAUCAUUGGGCGUAAAGCGCGUGUAGGCGGUUCGGUAAGUCUGCUGUGAAAGUCCAGGGCUCAACCCUGGGAUGCCGGUGGAUACUGUCGGACUAGAGUACGGAAGAGGCGAGUGGAAUUCCCGGUGUAGCGGUGAAAUGCGCAGAUAUCGGGAGGAACACCUGCGGCGAAGGCGGGUUGCUGGGCUGAUACUGACGCUGAGGCGCGAAAGCCAGGGGAGCGAACGGG
This 253-nucleotide ribosomal RNA is filed under the name uncultured bacterium. RNAcentral describes it as "partial 16S ribosomal RNA". It matches the Rfam family "Bacterial small subunit ribosomal RNA", at positions 524 to 776 of the family's 1533-position model. The record is from RNAcentral.